UACGUAGGGGGCGAGCGUUGUCCUGAAUGAUUGGGCGUAAAGGGCGCGUAGGCGGCUGUGCAAGUCAGUAGUGGAAGCCCAGCUUUUAAGGUUGGAAGUGCUAUUGAAACUGUGCAGCUUGAGUGCAGGAGAGGUUAUCGGAAUUCCCGGUGUAGCGGUGAAAUGCGUAGAGAUCGGGAGGAACACCAGUGGCGAAGGCGGGUGACUGGACUGCAACUGACGCUGAGGCGCGAAAGUGUGGGGAGCAAACAGGAUUAGA
This 259-nucleotide ribosomal RNA is filed under the name uncultured prokaryote. Its description in RNAcentral is "partial 16S ribosomal RNA". It matches the Rfam family "Bacterial small subunit ribosomal RNA", at positions 524 to 782 of the family's 1533-position model. The record is from RNAcentral.